UUUGGGCUUAGUUGGUUGUGGAGCACAUGAAAACUCCACAGUUAAGCAUGUUUGGGUGGGAGUAGUGCUAGGAUGGAUGACCUCUUGGGAAGUCUCCACCCGGGC
Molecule: ribosomal RNA, 105 nt
Filed under: Helianthus annuus (common sunflower)
Lineage: Eukaryota; Viridiplantae; Streptophyta; Magnoliopsida; Asterales; Asteraceae
Source: RNAcentral